RNAcentral lists this long non-coding RNA (980 nucleotides) under Homo sapiens (human). RNAcentral describes it as "HSALNT0052202". The record is from RNAcentral. Lineage: Eukaryota; Metazoa; Chordata; Mammalia; Primates; Hominidae.
GGAAGAACCAAAUUUAUAAGCGGGUGCUUGCCAGACAGCAGACCUCUCAGUUAAGCCAAUUAUGUAAAUGGGCCUUGAAGAAUGAUUUGUACCAGGAACAGUUUCAGAUGAAAGCCCUGCUCUUGUAAAGCCUUAUCCUGGGUCUAGACUGUUUUAAUAUUUUUGCUUUCUCUCCAGUUUUGAUUUGAUUUGAUUUUCCUGACUUGUGGAGAAGCUUUCCCUCAUCAAGCAACUGUGGGCAUGCAGAGUAAGACCUUUGUUAAAUGGAUAACUUUCAGGAGGACACAGAAUCAGCAGAAACAAUGGAAUUUUCAUUACUGUGGCAUAUUUUUAAGGUUAAAAAGGUGUUUAGCAAUAAAAUUCCACUGAACUACAGUUGUAUUUAACUGCUCUUCUCCAGGAAUACCAAAGGAAACAUAAAAAAUAGAAUGGGUUUCAUGGCUUGUGUAAAAUGUUUUACUUCUGGGUUUCAUUUCUUAAAAAAGCCUUCCACAUCUGCUAGGUGCUGACAAAUCAAAUCCUCCAUCUAACUAUAGCCACCAUGUGGAACCUGUGGCUAUGUUUAUGACCCCAGCAGCUUCUGCUCCAGGCACAGAGUGAAGAAAUUACGAGUCAUACAGCUGAAGUAUGCACAGAAAAGAUUUCAACCUCAAAUAAAAUCUGGAACUGAAGUUUCACUCCCCUCAUGGAACAAAUGUAUCAAGACUUGGUCAGAACUGAAGGCCAGAACACUUUCAAAAGUGAAGGGGUACAAGCUCAGGAAUGUUAGGUGUUAAGAUCCCUUACCAUACUUUACCAUAUAUGGUCUUGUUUAAAGUUCUUCCAAUCAAGACCUACCCACCAGCACUUCUGCAUACCAGCCUGCUCUCUCUAACCCAGAAAACUUGCCCCAGACUCCAGAAUGGGGAGAUGGAAUUGAGCUUUGUCUCCUGCCUCCUCGCCGCCAACCCCACAAUAAAACCUUUUUUUUUCUUAAAAAC